Molecule: long non-coding RNA, 430 nt
Organism: Archocentrus centrarchus (flier cichlid)
Lineage: Eukaryota; Metazoa; Chordata; Actinopteri; Cichliformes; Cichlidae
Exons: 5
Source: RefSeq, a predicted model, not a curated record
CCACAGUAUAUGUGUUCCUUGUUAAUUUACAGUGUUUGCAACAUGUCUAAGGUUCACUCAACCUCUGAACAUCAAUCAAACUGCACAACAAACAGCCAACCAGAGUGAAACCCAAAUUUACUCCUCUCUUCUUCAUGGUGAUACUUCAGUCUAUGAAUCGGUCAGAGUCUCUGGAAACACCGGAAGUGGGUGGACCAACAGAUGAAUACAGAAAUGUCACAUCUACUCUUCAGACUGAAGGUUUUGAUAAAAGGAGGAGACAUGACAACACAGAGGAGAGCUCUGACUACAAUAAUGUGAAUCUUGAAUCAGCCUCAGGUCCAUAAAAAGAAGUGGUCAACAACACAUCCAGGUACCUUCAGGGUUAGACCUGGAUUUUCUGUACUAUGAAGGUGGUUCACUUCUUACCAGAAUAUAUCACCAUGGUAAC